GAGUGGUCCUGCUGAGAACAAUGACACUGGAGCGCACGUGCACGAGACGACUCCAUUUUUUUCUUUCAGUGUUUGAACAAAUACAACGUCGCCCGGUUGGAAUAUUAUCGCUAUUUUACGAGCAAAAUAGCAUAAAAAUGUAUUUUAAACAGCGUCUGACAUGCUUCGAAGUACGGUAAUGGAAUAUAUGGAAUUUUUUUGUCACGAAAUGCACCGGCGCGUCACCCUUCGGAUAGUGACUUGAAUGCAUGAACAAAACGGCGCUAUUUGGAUAUAACUAUGGAUUAUUUUGAACCAAAACAACAUUUGUUGUUGAAGUAGAAGUCCUGGGAGUGCAUUCUGACGAAGAACAGCAAAGGGCGUUGGAGGUUUAUGUGCUACAUUAGUAAGACUGGUUCUACUCAUGACAUCGAGAGGCUAUGAUUUUGACUUCAAACCCCUGUGCACAAGGAAAUACCAUACCUGGAAAAACCAGUUGGGGAUUCCUCCCUUACAAGACCAUACCUGGAAAAACCAGUUGGGGAUUCCUCCCUUACAAGACCAUACCUGGAAAAACCAGUUGGGGAUUCCUCCCUUACAAGACCAUACCUGGAAAAACCAGUU
Molecule: long non-coding RNA, 603 nt
Filed under: Salmo salar (Atlantic salmon)
Lineage: Eukaryota; Metazoa; Chordata; Actinopteri; Salmoniformes; Salmonidae
Description: lncRNA (ENSSSAG00000108203.1)
Source: RNAcentral